Bradysia coprophila is the source of this 150-nucleotide long non-coding RNA. The record is from RefSeq and is a predicted model, not a curated record. NCBI's taxonomy places the organism in Eukaryota, Metazoa, Arthropoda, Insecta, Diptera, Sciaridae.
AAUCGAUUUGUCUCAUAACACAUCGCUCUUCUAAAUAAAUUAAGUAAAUGACGAGCGUUGAAGCUAAUACGCCGGGAUAGUAUACGUACGUAGACUAAAUAAAAUAACAAAAAAAUAAAAUAAUUAAAUUGGGGGACUACAACAGUCAUA